Long non-coding RNA from Oncorhynchus tshawytscha (Chinook salmon), 1229 nucleotides. The record is from Ensembl. Lineage: Eukaryota; Metazoa; Chordata; Actinopteri; Salmoniformes; Salmonidae.
UGGGCAAGGAUCCAAUCUAAAGAUGUCAUUAGUGGUGAUAACAUGGGCAAGGAUCCAAUCUAAAGAUGUCAUUAGUGGUGAUAACAUGGGCAAGGAUCCAAUCUAAAGAUGUCAGUAGUGGUGAUAACAUGGGCAAGGAUCCAAUCUAAAGAUGUCAUUAGUGGUGAUAACAUGGGCAAGGAUCCAAUCUAAAUACGUCAUUAGAGUGGUGAUAACAUGGGCAAGGAUCCCAUCUAAAGCGUGGUCAUUAGGGCUGAUAACAUGUGCAAGGAUCCCAUCUAAAGCCUUGUCAUUGGGGAUGAUAACAUGGGCAAGGAUCCCAUCUAUAGCGUGGUCAUUAGGGCUGAUAACAUGUGCAAGGAUCCCAUCUAAAGCCUUGUCAUUGGGGAUGAUAACAUGGGCAAGGAUCCCAUCUAUAGCCUGGUCAUUAGGGCUGAUAACAUGUGCAAGGAUCCCAUCUAAAGCCUUGUCAUUGGGGAUGAUAACAUGUGCAAGGAUCCCAUCUAAAGCCUUGUCAUUGGGGAUGAUAACAUGGGCAAGGAUCCCAUCUAUAGCCUGGUCAUUAUGGAUGAUAACAUGGGCAAGGAUCCCAUCUAUAGCCUGGUCAUUAUGGAUGAUAACAUGGGCAAGGAUCCCAUCUAUAGCCUGGUCAUUAUGGAUGAUAACAUGGGCAAGGAUCCCAUCUAUAGCCUGGUCAUUAGGGAAGAUAACAUGGGCAAGGAUCCCAUCUAUAGCCUGGUCAUUAGGGAUGAUAACAUGGGCAAGGAUCCCAUCUAUAGCCUGGUCAUUAGGGAUGAUAACAUGGGCAAGGAUCCCAUCUAUAGCCUGGUCAUUAGGGAUGAUAACAUGGGCAAGGAUCCCAUCGAUCGCCUGGUCAUUAGGGAUGAUAACAUGGGCAAGGAUCCCAUCUAUAGCCUGGUCAUUAUGGAUGAUAACAUGGGCAAGGAUCCCAUCUAUCGCCUGGUCAUUAGGGAUGAUAACAUGGGCAAGGAUCCCAUCUAUAGCCUGGUCAUUAGGGAUGAUAACAUGGGCAAGGAUCCCAUCUAUCGCCUGGUCAUUAGGGAUGAUAACAUGGGCAAGGAUCCAUCCAAUGCUUUUCGCUUUAUCUUGUGUAAAUAUUUGCCCUGCACACUUCCAUCACCUGGCUUGGAUGGGGUGAGCCUCAGUAUCAUUCCAACUGAGUUAACAAGAUGUUAGAUCACAGUAGAGAUACUGAAGACAGUGUGGUG